GGACAGUAGGGAAUCUUCCGCAAUGGACGAAAGUCUGACGGAGCAACGCCGCGUGAGUGAUGAAGGUUUUCGGAUCGUAAAGCUCUGUUGUUAGGGAAGAACAAGUGCCGUUCAAAUAGGGCGGCACCUUGACGGUACCUAACCAGAAAGCCACGGCUAACUACGUGCCAGCAGCCGCGGUAAUACGUAGGUGGCAAGCGUUGUCCGGAAUUAUUGGGCGUAAAGGGCUCGCAGGCGGUUUCUUAAGUCUGAUGUGAAAGCCCCCGGCUCAACCGGGGAGGGUCAUUGGAAACUGGGGAACUUGAGUGCAGAAGAGGAGAGUGGAAUUCCACGUGUAGCGGUGAAAUGCGUAGAGAUGUGGAGGAACACCAGUGGCGAAGGCGACUCUCUGGUCUGUAACUGACGCUGAGGAGCGAAAGCGUGGGGAGCGAACAGGAUUAGAUACCCUGGUAGUCCACGCCGUAAACGAUGAGUGCUAAGUGUUAGGGGGUUUCCGCCCCUUAGUGCUGCAGCUAACGCAUUAAGCACUCCGCCUGGAGACUAA
This 544-nucleotide ribosomal RNA is filed under the name uncultured bacterium. RNAcentral's name for it is "bacterial SSU rRNA". It matches the Rfam family "Bacterial small subunit ribosomal RNA", at positions 349 to 883 of the family's 1533-position model. The record is from RNAcentral.